AGACGUCUACAUUAGAUACCCCGGUAGUCCCAGCCGUAAACUAUGCGCGUUAGGUGUAUCGGUGACCACGAGUCACCGAGGUGCCGAAGGGAAACCGUGAAACGUGCCGCCUGGGGAAAGUACGGUCGCAAGGCUGAAACUUAAAGGAAUUGGCGGGGAGCACCACAACGGGUGGAGCCUGCGGUUUAAUUGGACUCAACGCCGGGAAGCUCACCGGAUAAGACAGCGGAAUGAUUGCCGGGCUGAAGACUCUGCAUGACUAGCUG
RNAcentral lists this ribosomal RNA (266 nucleotides) under uncultured archaeon. Its description in RNAcentral is "partial 16S ribosomal RNA". It matches the Rfam family "Archaeal small subunit ribosomal RNA", at positions 717 to 982 of the family's 1478-position model. The record is from RNAcentral.